AGUCUUAUAUUCAAAUUAUGAUUUUAGACUGCAAUUCUGAAGGUGUGGAUUAUUUAUUCUACUAAGACUU
This 70-nucleotide transfer RNA is filed under the name Hydrobasileus croceus. RNAcentral describes it as "tRNA-Cys". The record is from RNAcentral. Lineage: Eukaryota; Metazoa; Arthropoda; Insecta; Odonata; Libellulidae.